GGUAUUCGCGUGCGCAAGUUGAGGGUUUCAUCACACGGAAGUUGAUCUAAAGUUGGUUGGAAAAUCGACAGACGCAAGUCUGUAAUACGGUUUUUGAAUGUCGAAUUACCAAUGUUUGAUAUAAAACCAACGUAACCACGGUGACCCUGACCACGUCGUCAAACCGAAACUGGAUGUGUUUGUGAAGGCUUGGGACUGACGGCAUAGCUAUUAUUUUGUUCCCACCGACCAAUACUGCCAUCCAAGAGGAGAAAGGCAACCAACACCAGAGGAACAAUUUAUCAUGAGUCACAGUCUGAACAUGGAAGGUACUGCUAAACAACAGCAGGAACACAAUAAUGACUGUCAGACGAACAAGACAGAACACUGGCUACUCAAAUUCGCUGAAAUGGUAGGACAGAGUAUCUGUCAGAAGCACAAAGACGAACUGGACCUCUGGAGGCCAACCUGUUUUUUUUGCGCUUGUCAAGAAGAUGAGCUAUUUCCCAAGCUAAUGCAGGUGUUUCUGAAGAAAAAAAUAACACCGUCUGGGGAAAAAGAUGGUGACGAGAGACAUUCUGAUGACAAGGAACCCUCCACUGCCUCUACCUCUCAAGAUAUCAUCAUGCAGAAUUUAAGCCUUGGCCAGAAAAGAAGUCUGCCUAAUGAGAAUGAUGGUGAAGUCCAAUCCACCGCCUCCGCCUCUGAAGUUCUUAGUAAGCAGAAUUUAAGCCUUGGCCAGAAAAGAAGUCGACCUAAUGAGGAUGAUGGUGAAGUCCACUCCACCGCCACCACCUCCACCUCUGAAGAUUCAUGGGUUCAUGUGGCCCGGUCAGAUUGUGAUGAAAUGCCUUCUGAAGACAAGCAAUACUCCACCACCUCUAACUCUGAAGGGCCUUCAGCGAAGACAUAUUACACUCUUGCUCCUGGAAAGUCGGCAGAAUACUCUAAGGAUAUCAAAACAUGGCUCAAACACCUGUCUGAAGUGAAAUCGAUACAGAGUUGUGAUAUGAUCCUGGCUACCUGCAUGGUUGUGUCUCGUGUUGGAACAGAUGUUGAAGCAGCACUGAAAGACAUCCCUGAAGCCAAGCCGACCAUUCUGGUGGUUAUGCACCAUACCUUUGAUCCUGAUUGUGUACUACCAGACAGCAGUAGGUUUACCAAAAGGGAGGACAUGCUCAUUGUGGACUGUCUGUUUAAUGAGGAUAAUGGAUUAUUGAGAUGUGAAAGAAAUGGCAUUGCACAAUCUACAAUGCUGAAAUGGAUCAACGCAAAGGUGUCCAUUAAAGAAACACCAUGGACUGUUUCCUCAUUCUUUGGUUGGUCCUGAUGUCUAUGAAGUGAUUUGAAGUCGGGCCUUGGAGGAUCCCAUGAUCAUCUUCUUAUGUUGUUUUUAUUGAAAUUGUUAAAAUAUUAAGAAGUGGAACAGAUGAAUAGCUACACAAAGCAUGACCCAGAGCGGUAACACUUUCUAUGCAGGCCAUGUCUAAUGAUUUAGGCAUAAAUUCAUAAUGCAAUUAUAUAAUGCUAUGCAAUAUAAUAUAAUGCAAUCAUAAGGUAUUGUAAUAAGUACAAACAAGCAUUAGACUCUAUAGCAAUGUCACUGUGCUGAUGCAUUUGAACAAUUUAUGAUUAGAGACUGCACAAGAUGGAAUAAUAGUUAGUUAUAGUUAUUUUUAAUGUAACAUAGCAUGUCUCUGCUAGCUUUAAGUGUAGUAUGAAAAUGUCCUUACCAGUAUUAAAUAGAAUAGGCAGGCAUAAGAUAAUAUAGACAAAAAAUAAAGUGAGACAUUUUGCUCAGGAGCAAAAAAAAAGCACAUUUUAUUCAUGUAACAUCAAUUUCAACAUUCUUUGUGCAGAAAAUAAAAACCAGUGCAUCCAAAUUACUUGCAUCUGUCUUAUUAAUGUAAUGUCAAUUUCAAUACACCCUAAAGCAACUGUUUGUUUUUUAUUUUAAAUUAUUUUCACACAUUGUGCUAUUGCUAUCCAUUAUGUUUACACAGGGUCUAGGUUCAACUUGAAACUGCAUUUCAAUAGUUCAAGCAUUUUUUUUAUAAAGCUAGCUCAUCACUGUAACAGCACCUUAAUGGCCAACAGAAAAAUACUGAAAGCAAUUGAGGUUUUAGUUAGAAAUUGGCCGUAGAUUACAGCAAUUUAAAUUACACUCUUUUCGCAAGAAGCAAAAAAGAUUCAGUUUUUCCGUGCAACUGUCGGUUACUACAACACCUAUGGAAAGUGGGUAAAGUUAUUAAGAUUAAAGACUCUUCCCAACGACAUUAGGUGGUUAUGCUCCUCUCAUUGCUUGUACUCACUGGCAAAUUAGCUAAUACAUCGAUCCUGAGAGCUUUUUUACAUCUUUUUUUUUAAAUACCUUAACUGUUAAUGGUGAGCAAGAACUUGGAGCUAAAUGCUGAUUGGCAGUCAAUGUGACAACAGAAUGAUUAGAAAUGUAAUAACACAGUAUUUCAUCAUGGUUGUUGAGCCUUUGUAUGCUAAUUAAAAUUCAAGUUAGAUUAUUUUGAUUCAAACAGAAAGGUCAAUACUUUUAUAAUACAGUUUUUCUCAGUUGCUUUGGUCAAUUUCUCAGAUCAGAAGCGAAAUUCUCAAAAAUCAUCUAGUCACUUUUGCACAUCAAACAUCAAUUUCUCAUUGUUUUGCACAUUUUGAAAAUACUUUUGCGCUACAAAAAAUCUACGUAUGUAUUCAGUGUCUACAUCAUGACAUGCAAAUGGUUUAAACCAGUUAUCAUUAUGUGUCAACUAUAUGCUUUAUCAGUUUCGGUGGCAUUGUGUUUUUGGUAUGGUACAGAUUAUUUAUUUAUUAUUGUGUUUCUUUUCUCCCUCAGGUUGACCUAGAAAGAGGCUGACCUGGUAACCAUAGCAACAACCAUAGCAAUGUAUUUAUACUUGAGAAAAGUAUUGACGACCUGUGCUGCAUUAACUGCCCCAGACAAUAUUGUUGCCCUCCUCCAACCUCAGCAGCUGGAGUGCAGAGGGCUGCUCAACCUGGGGCAGACCUGCUACCUAAACGCCACACUGCAGUGUCUGCUCCACCUGCAGCCUCUCUGCACUCAGCUGCUGGUGCAGGAGGAGGUGUGGAGGAUGGCGCCAGAGGCACUGCUGCUCAGGACUGGUACUCCUCAGAGGGUCCUGUGAAAUGGACAUGAAGGCAGCUGUACUACUGGAGUUCAAGGACCAAAUCUCCCUGCACAACCAGGAGUUUGAGGGGAACUCACAGAACGACGCCAAUGAGUUCCUCACAGAAUGUCUACUGCUGCUAAGGGUCAUCGGCCAGGCUCUGUUCUCCUUCCAGCUCCAGUAUAUAAGAACUUGCCAGAGCUGUGGAGUUGAGAGCAUGAGGGAUGAGGUUAACACCAUGCUCUCCCUCGACCUGGUUGUACAGGGAUCGAUAAGAGACAGCCUCCAGCUCUUUUUCACUGGUGUUGAUCCUCCACCUCAAGAGGUUCUGUCCCCUGACCCUCGCCAAACAACACCAGGCGCUUACACUGGACUCCAUUCUGGACCUGAGGACACUAGGGGAAAGGCCACUAUAUAGCCGACUGUGGGGAACAGCCAGACCAGUGGGUCACAUACAGUGACCACUCUGUCACAGUGAGAUCUGAGGAGGCCGUCCUCAAUAACAGGGAGAGGAUAGCCUACAUUCUUCUUUAUAUCAAAAAGGUAAUUUACACCAUCAGCCACA
Molecule: long non-coding RNA, 3681 nt
Organism: Clupea harengus (Atlantic herring)
Lineage: Eukaryota; Metazoa; Chordata; Actinopteri; Clupeiformes; Clupeidae
Source: Ensembl